UUUCCGUAGGUGAACCUGCGGAAGGAUCAUUAAGGAGAAUAUGCCCUUCGGGGUAGAUCUCCCACCCUUUGUUUUUAUUACUUUUGUUGUUUGGCAGGCCCGUCUUCGGACCACCGGCUUCGGCUGGUCAGUGCUAACCAGAGGUCCCAAAACUCUUAUUAUUAAUGUCGUCUGAUUACUAUAUAUUAGUUAAAACUUUUAACAACGGAUCUCUUGGUUCUG
RNAcentral lists this unclassified non-coding RNA (222 nucleotides) under plant metagenome. RNAcentral describes it as "partial contains small subunit ribosomal RNA, internal transcribed spacer 1, and 5.8S ribosomal RNA". The record is from RNAcentral.